Molecule: unclassified non-coding RNA, 565 nt
Filed under: Conium aff. sphaerocarpum JMS-2010
Lineage: Eukaryota; Viridiplantae; Streptophyta; Magnoliopsida; Apiales; Apiaceae
Description: partial external transcribed spacer
Source: RNAcentral
CAUUCCUCUUUGCUGCCGGCACCGCAUGAGCAAAAGGACAAAUACCGUCCUCCAGUCAAAACGGGGCACGUCAAGCUUCCGUAAGGGACAAUUGAUUCGGAAAAAAGGGACAAGGACCCCGACCGAUCAUUGUUUCUACAUACAAGACUUCGAGCGAAACUUGGGCGUACAAUGCCUGCUAGCUAAAUAAGCAAAGCAAGGGCGAACGUCCACUAGUGCUUCAGGGUCUACAUCGCACAAAACUUUUUGGCACGAGAUAGAGUAGGGACUGUGGGACUAGAGAAUUCCAUCAAAAUAGGUAUGCUGCACAGGGGUCCAGGCCAAUCCAAGGCAAAAGAUUUUGCACUCGAACAGAAUUGAACAGGUGUGAACCAGUGGUUGUCGCUGCCGAAGCAGGGAACCAACCAACCGGAACAAACCAAUCACUACUCAUGCGCUACACGUACAACAUGCCACCAUCACAGCUAGGUACAAGCCCCCCAAAGACACGAAAGUCUAGGAGGACUUGNCCAUAACAAAUGAAGGCAACAAGCACCGCUUCNCGCGAAUCCAAACACACGGGGAC